AUUGAACGCUGGCGGCAGGCCUAACACAUGCAAGUCGAGCGGAUGAAGGGAGCUUUCUCCUGGAUUCAGCUGCGGACGGGUGAGUAAUUCCUAGGAAUCUGCCUGGUAGUGGGGGAUAACGUCCGGAAACGGGCGCUAAUACCGCAUACGUCCUGAGGGUGAAAGUGGUGGAUCUUCGGACCUCACGCUAUCAGAUGAGCCUAGGUCGGAUUAGCUAGUUGGUUGGGUAAAGGCCUACCAAGGCGACGAUCCGUAACUGGUCUGAGAGGAUGAUCAGUCACACUGGAACUGAGACACGGUCCAGACUCCUACGGGAGGCAGCAGUGGGGAAUAUUGGGCAAUGGGCGAAAGCCUGAUCCAGCCAUGCCGCGUGUGUGAAGAAGGUCUUCGGAUUGUAAAGCACUUUAAGUUGGGAGGAAGGGAAGUAAGUUAAUCCAUUGCUGUUUUGACGUUACCAACAGAAUAAGCACCGGCUAACUUCGUG
RNAcentral lists this ribosomal RNA (484 nucleotides) under uncultured bacterium. RNAcentral's name for it is "partial 16S ribosomal RNA". It matches the Rfam family "Bacterial small subunit ribosomal RNA", at positions 30 to 507 of the family's 1533-position model. The record is from RNAcentral.